This is a non-coding RNA of Sciurus carolinensis (gray squirrel), 72 nucleotides long. The record is from the annotation of a RefSeq genome assembly. NCBI's taxonomy places the organism in Eukaryota, Metazoa, Chordata, Mammalia, Rodentia, Sciuridae.
UGGGGUAUAGCUCAGUGGUAGAGCAUGUGCUUAACAAGCACAAGGCCCUGGGUUCUAUCCCUAGUAUCAAAA